GAUAAACGCUGGCGGCGCACAUAAGACAUGCAAGUUGAACGGACUUAAUCGAAAUAUUUAUAUUUUGAAGCGGUUAGUGGCGGACUGGUGAGUAACGCGUAAGGAACCUGCCUAUUAGAGGGGAAUAACAGUGAGAAAUCAUUGCUAAUACCGCAUAUGCCAUAGAUAUCACAUGAUAACAGUGGGAAAGGAGCAAUCCGCUAAUAGAUGGCCUUGCGUCUGAUUAGAUAGUUGGUGGGGUAACGGCCUACCAAGUCGACGAUCAGUAGCCGGACUGAGAGGUUGAACGGCCACAUUGGGACUGAGAGACGGCCCAGACUCCUACGGGAGGCAGCAGUCGGGAAUAUUGCGCAAUGGAGGAAACUCUGACGCAGUGACGCCGCGUAUAGGAAGAAGGUUUUCGGAUUGUAAACUAUUGUCGUUAGGGAAGAGAAAGGACAGUACCUAAGGAGGAAGCUCCGGCUAACUACGUG
RNAcentral lists this ribosomal RNA (473 nucleotides) under uncultured bacterium. RNAcentral's name for it is "partial 16S ribosomal RNA". It matches the Rfam family "Bacterial small subunit ribosomal RNA", at positions 28 to 507 of the family's 1533-position model. The record is from RNAcentral.